RNAcentral lists this ribosomal RNA (253 nucleotides) under uncultured bacterium. Its description in RNAcentral is "partial 16S ribosomal RNA". It matches the Rfam family "Bacterial small subunit ribosomal RNA", at positions 524 to 776 of the family's 1533-position model. The record is from RNAcentral.
UACGUAGGGGGCAAGCGUUGUCCGGAAUCAUUGGGCGUAAAGCGCGUGUAGGCGGCUUGGUAAGUCCGCUCUGAAAGCCCGGGGCUCAACCCCGGGAGGCGGGUGGAUACUGUCAAGCUCGAGUCCGGAAGAGGCGAGUGGAAUUCCUGGUGUAGCGGUGAAAUGCGCAGAUAUCAGGAGGAACACCGAUGGCGAAGGCAGGUCUCUGGGCCACUACUGACGCUGAGAAGCGAAAGCAUGGGGAGCGAACAGG